CAGGGUCCCGCCUUCAGGUGUUUGGGACUCUGCUGAGGGUGUGGGUGCCCCGCGGUGGGGGCUGAACCUUCCUGGGGUGUGGAGAGACGAAAGGAGCCCAGAUCCAAGUUCCCUCGUUCCCGCUUUGGCAUAAGUUGCCCUGGCGGUCUCAUGAGAGAGAGAAAGAGCUGGGACCCUCCUCGCCCCAGUGAGUGUGAUGUCUUGCUCCGGGUGUCCUGGGGCAACUUUCUAUAAAGGCGGGACGUGGGAGGAUCAGACAGUGUAACAUCAGACAAGGGUGUUGACUCUGCAGCACAGAACCAGUAGUUUGUGGAGAAGAAUGGAGGUGAG
Molecule: long non-coding RNA, 330 nt
Filed under: Pan troglodytes (chimpanzee)
Lineage: Eukaryota; Metazoa; Chordata; Mammalia; Primates; Hominidae
Description: long non-coding RNA NONPTRT018337
Source: RNAcentral